This 468-nucleotide ribosomal RNA is filed under the name uncultured bacterium. Its description in RNAcentral is "partial 16S ribosomal RNA". It matches the Rfam family "Bacterial small subunit ribosomal RNA", at positions 28 to 507 of the family's 1533-position model. The record is from RNAcentral.
GACGAACGCUGGCGGCGUGCUUAACACAUGCAAGUCGAACGGAAAGGCCCUGCUUUGGUGGGGUGCUCGAGUGGCGAACGGGUGAGUAACACGUAAGUAACCUUCCCUUGACUUUUGGAUGACUUCAGGAAACUCUGGCUCAUACCGGUUAUGAGCUCCUUCUUCAGGGUGGGUGGUGGACAGCUUCGGCGGUUGGGGAUGGACUCGCGGCUUAUCAGCUUGUUGGUGGGGUAGUGGCUUACCAAGGCUUUGACGGGUAGCCGGCCUGAGAGGGUGACCGGCCACAUUGGGACUGAGAUACGGCCCAGACUCCUACGGGAGGCAGCAGUGGGGAAUAUUGCACAAUGGGCGGAAGCCUGAUGCAGCAACGCCGCGUGCGGGAUGACGGCCUUCGGGUUGUAAACCGCUUUCGCCUGUGACGAAGCGUGAGUGACGGUAAUGGGUAAAGAAGCACCGGCUAACUACGUG